CGAAUAUCGAAAAAUUUUAUCCCUACUUUAUCUAAUAUGUAUUACAAGCGACUAGUGGCGCAUGCGAUAUGCCCAAUAUGCGGGGGAGGGGUUGAAAUGACGGACCAUGUUUUUCGAAGUUGCCCUGCUUCAAAGGAUGUUUGGAAAUUAGUAGGGUACUCGUGGAUAAUGUCAAAUACAACUCAGGAAACGUUUGAAUGGCUUACCUGGGUAUUCAGUGUAAGUUCUGUUCUUCAACGGAGGGUUUUUUGUUGUGCCCUUUGGGCCUUGUGGAUUGAAAGGAAUAAGCGUGUGCAUGAGAACUCCGCAAAAUCGGGCAGAGAGGUAGCCAAUUUCAUUCAAAGUUACAUUAAAGAACUAGAAGGUAUCGAAGAACGAGGGCUUACCAGGGGAGUUAUUAGCGCUAAACUGGAACCUCCUUCGGGGGUUUGUAUUAAAAUAAACUUCGAUGCGGAUUUUGAUUGGGCACAUUCUAGGUCGAGGUCGGGGAUAGUGGCCAAAAACGCCCUGGGGAAGGUGGUUGCCUCUAGAUCGGUCAUACAUGCAAAUGUUGGGGCGGCUUUUGCAGCGGAAGCUCUUGCCCGUUUAUGGGCAGUACAAACGGGGUUAGAUUUGGGUUUCACAGAUAUGAUUAUAGAAGGAGACUCUUUAUCAGUUAUAAAGAAAUCCAAGUCAGAUUCACAAGACAAAUCAGAAAUAAGUACUUAUACCCGGAAUAUAAAACGAAAUAUCAACAGUUUUCGGUCUCUACGAAUCAAACAUGCAAGACGCUCGGCUAAUCAACUUGCUCAUGUAAUAGCUACUGAAAGUUUGAGAAAUGGUGAAGAGUUUUACCUGGAAGAGAAGGUCCCGAGAUUCGUUGUGAGGAUAAUGGAAGAAGAAUGGAUUAGAGCCCGAUUAAGGAGGAAGAUGGUAAAAGCUCUUCGAUCCCUGGGAUAAAGAAAGCUUAGAAAUGUGUUUUUGAGAGAAAAGAUCGUUGG
RNAcentral lists this long non-coding RNA (980 nucleotides) under Gossypium raimondii (Peruvian cotton). RNAcentral's name for it is "long non-coding RNA (GRAI_LNC002385)". The record is from RNAcentral. Lineage: Eukaryota; Viridiplantae; Streptophyta; Magnoliopsida; Malvales; Malvaceae.